CUCGACUAGAGUUUAUUUGUGAAUCUCGUGAAAACUCUUUUUUAGUAUUCACACUUACUUUGGCCAAAGACUUUCUGAACUCAAUCUCAUAAAUCACAUAGGACUUCUCCUUUUCUACCAAGGUCGAUAGAUCCCAUCUAGGUGCACCCUACUCCAAAUAGCGAACCUCAAUCUACUGAAGCCAACAUACACAGCAAGGAUCCGAAUAGCUAGGAACCAAAAAAAUAUACAGUCAAACCCAGUAGCCUCACUGCAAAUAGCCAAUGACACCACAGGUCAAAGAACCACUCACACCACUGC
This 300-nucleotide long non-coding RNA is filed under the name Elaeis guineensis (African oil palm). RNAcentral's name for it is "long non-coding RNA (EGUI_LNC060936)". Lineage: Eukaryota; Viridiplantae; Streptophyta; Magnoliopsida; Arecales; Arecaceae. The record is from RNAcentral.